Molecule: long non-coding RNA, 1044 nt
Organism: Apodemus sylvaticus (European woodmouse)
Lineage: Eukaryota; Metazoa; Chordata; Mammalia; Rodentia; Muridae
Exons: 3
Source: RefSeq, a predicted model, not a curated record
UGUUGAUCAGGCCAGAGAGACAGGGUCAGAAUAUGGGAAGCUUGGUGCCUGCCCUUGGCGGGUGACUGGGGGUCUUGGAAGGUUGGGUACAGGUCAGAAGGAUUCAGGGGUUGGCAGUCAGGUGAUGUGACGAUUGUGGCCACCGGGUCCUCAUCUGUGAAUGAGACACUGUCACAUUCGGUUGAGCCGGGCAUAGCGCUGGACACCUGCUUCCUCAGCAUUGCGGCUGAGGUAAGAGGCUCAUGGGUUGGAGGUCAGCUUUGGCCACUUAGUAAGAGCAUGUCUGAAAAACAGCAAAGCAAAGCAAAACAAAACAACAGCAGACCUGCUAGCUGUGUGCCUGUGAACUUACUGGACCCCGAGCUGUCAAGCUAAGGCUUAUCUGCCAGUGUUCUCACAGGGUGGAGUCAGCCUCUGCUUUGAUCUUCAGUGUCUGCUGGGACUUCUGAUUGCUUCACAUCCUUGCUAGCUCUGGAUCCUUCAGAUCUGGUUUCUCUGUGUAACCUUGGCUGUCCCGGAACUCAUUAAAAACCAGGCUGACCUUGAACUCACAGAGAUCCACCUGUCUCCUGAGUGCUUGGAUUAAAGGCAUAUACCACCGUGCUCGGCUUACAGAAUAAUGCUAAUGCCACCCAGUGUGACCCAGGAUAGCUCUUCACUUUCCUGGGUCACCAAAGAAGAGCAAGGAAGCAGCUGGAGCCGGGCAGAGCCAGGCACAGGUGCAGGAGCAGGCCACGCCCCUGCCUCACAGAAAUGGGUGGCAGCUGCUCUGGGUUUUGUGGCCAGUUUCUCCCUAAAACCUCACAAGGCUCUUGCGUUUGGUUUGGACAUAUGUCCUGGACAGAUCUGCAGGGACACUUGAGGCAUCUGUGCUGCUGUCCCCCUCCUCUCCUUCACCACGGUUCUGAGGAGAGGGGGAUCGUCAACCCGUCGGCUCUGUGGCUGGGACUCAGAACAGAGUGUUCGUGUGAGGCUCCGGAUUCCAGUCCCUGGGAAUCAAAACCUGUUAGAAGGACAAGCAAAAAUAAACAAAAGUGAACUUGA